RNAcentral lists this transfer RNA (84 nucleotides) under Fasciola hepatica (liver fluke). It matches the Rfam family "tRNA". Rfam says of the family: Transfer RNA (tRNA) molecules are approximately 80 nucleotides in length. Their secondary structure includes four short double-helical elements and three loops (D, anti-codon, and T loops). The record is from Rfam by way of RNAcentral. Lineage: Eukaryota; Metazoa; Platyhelminthes; Trematoda; Plagiorchiida; Fasciolidae.
UGCCUCGUAGCUCAGCUGGCAGAGCAGUCGCGGUUCUGAAGCGAGGGUGGUGACCAUGCGUGGAUUCGAAUCCCGCCGGGGCCA